RNAcentral lists this ribosomal RNA (917 nucleotides) under uncultured Planctomycetota bacterium. Its description in RNAcentral is "bacterial SSU rRNA". It matches the Rfam family "Bacterial small subunit ribosomal RNA", at positions 28 to 896 of the family's 1533-position model. The record is from RNAcentral. Lineage: Bacteria; Pseudomonadati; Planctomycetota.
AGCGAACGCCGGCGGCGUGGCUGAGACAUGCAAGUCGCACGGAACUGUGAUUGGGUAACUGAGAACAGUUUAGUGGCGAAAGGGUGAGUAAUGCAUGGGUAACGUACCCCGGGCACCGGGAUAGUAGCGUCUGCUUCGGCAGGCUACCGAAAGGGCUGGUAAUACCGGAUGUGGUUGGUAGCACUGCGGUGCUUUUGAUCAAAGUUGGGGAUCCGCUUCGGCGGACCUAUCGGCCUGGGAGCGGCCCAUGUUCCAUCAGCUAGUUGGUAGGGUAAAGGCCUACCAAGGCGAUGACGGAUACCGGGGCUGAGAGGCCGAUCCGGCACAUUGGGACUGAGACACUGCCCAGACCCCCACGGGGGGCUGCAGUAACGAAUCUUCCGCAAUGGGCGCAAGCCUGACGGAGCGACGCCGCGUGUGGGAUGAAUUCCCUCGGGAUGUAAACCACUGUCAGGGUUAUGGAAACAAACCGCAAUAAUACAGCGGGGCGUAGACCUAGCCCAGAGGAAGCCACGGCUAACUUCGUGCCAGCAGCCGCGGUAAUACGAAGGUGGCAAGCGUUGUUCGGAAUAACUGGGCUUAAAGAGUGUGUAGGCGGAAUGGUAAGCGUUCUGUGAAAUCCCUCGGCUUAACCGAGGAGUUGCUGGACGAACUGCUGUUCUUGAGGCAAGUAGGGGUGCACGGAACUCUUGGUGGAGCGGUGGAAUGCGUAGAUAUCAAGAGGAACGCCGGUGGAGAAAUCGGUGCACUGGGCUUGUCCUGACGCUGAGACACGAAAGCGUGGGGAGCGAACGGGAUUAGAUACCCCGGUAGUCCACGCCGUAAACGAUGUCUACUAGGUUGUGGUGGUUCUGACACCAGCACGGCCGAAGCUAAAGUGCUAAGUAGACCGCCUGGGGAGUACGGUCGCAAGGCUA